This 446-nucleotide ribosomal RNA is filed under the name uncultured bacterium. RNAcentral describes it as "partial 16S ribosomal RNA". It matches the Rfam family "Bacterial small subunit ribosomal RNA", at positions 338 to 795 of the family's 1533-position model. The record is from RNAcentral.
CCUACGGGAGGCAGCAGUCGAGAAUCAUUCACAAUGGGGGAAACCCUGAUGGCGCGACGCCGCGUGGGGGAAUGAAGGUCUUCGGAUUGUAAACCCCUGUCAUGUGGGAGCAAAUUAAAAAGAUAGUACCACAAGAGGAAGAGCCGGCGAACUCUGUGCCAGCAGCCGCGGUAAUACAGAGGUCUCAAGCGUUGUUCGGAAUCACUGGGCGUAAAGCGUGCGUAGGCUGUUGCGUAAGUCGUGUGUGAAAGGCGCGGGCUCAACCCGCGGACGGCACAUGAUACUGCGAGACUAGAGUAAGGGAAGGGGAACCGGAAUUCUCGGUGUAGCAGUGAAAUGCGUAGAUAUCGAGAAGAACACUCGUGGCGAAGGCGGGUUCCUGGACAGUAACUGACGCUGAGGCACGAAGGCCAGGGGAGCGAAAGGGAUUAGAUACCCUAGUAGUC